CAGUAGCCACGGUAAUACGGAGGGUGCAAGCGUUAAUCGGAAUUACUGGGCGUAAAGCGUGCGUAGGCGGUUUGUUAAGUCUGUUGUGAAAUCCCCGGGCUCAACCUGGGAAUGGCAAUGGAUACUGGCAAGCUAGAGUGUGUCAGAGGAUGGUGGAAUUCCCGGUGUAGCGGUGAAAUGCGUAGAGAUCGGGAGGAACAUCAGUGGCGAAGGCGGCCAUCUGGGACAACACUGACGCUGAGGCACGAAAGCGUGGGGAGCAAACAGGAUUAGAUACCCGUGUAGUCCCUGUCUCUUAUAC
RNAcentral lists this ribosomal RNA (301 nucleotides) under uncultured bacterium. Its description in RNAcentral is "partial 16S ribosomal RNA". It matches the Rfam family "Bacterial small subunit ribosomal RNA", at positions 509 to 807 of the family's 1533-position model. The record is from RNAcentral.